AUACUGCUGAGGAGUCCCACAAUAGGACGAAAUGGCCAUCUAGUGC
This 46-nucleotide non-coding RNA is filed under the name Schistosoma haematobium. Lineage: Eukaryota; Metazoa; Platyhelminthes; Trematoda; Strigeidida; Schistosomatidae. The record is from RNAcentral.